RNAcentral lists this ribosomal RNA (233 nucleotides) under uncultured bacterium. RNAcentral describes it as "partial 16S ribosomal RNA". It matches the Rfam family "Bacterial small subunit ribosomal RNA", at positions 102 to 334 of the family's 1533-position model. The record is from RNAcentral.
ACGGGUGAGUAACGCGUAUGCAACUUACCUAUCAGAGGGGGAUAACCCGGCGAAAGUCGGGCUAAUACCGCAUGAAGCAGGGGCCCCGCAUGGGGAUAUUUGCUAAAGAUUCAUCGCUGAUAGAUAGGCAUGCGUUCCAUUAGGCAGUUGGCGGGGUGACGGCCCACCAAACCGACGAUGGAUAGGGGUUCUGAGAGGAAGGUCCCCCACAUUGGUACUGAGACACGGACCAA